GGAAUAAUGACAGCCCGAGCUAAGUAAGUGCCAUGGACUUGGGCCUUGUCCUGCGGCUGCCCCCCUUCAGUGCCUGGAUUCCUCCUGCAGUGAUGUCCAGCCUGUCCUUUAGCACAGCUGUUGACAUCUUAUCUAGGAAGAAUGAGGAAAGUGGAAUUGAAGAGUACUUCAGUCUUGACCAGGAUUCUGAGAAAUGGAGAGCCACAGAAACAGCCUGCUCCCGUGGGUCACCGCCGGCGGCCACUACGCCUCCCACAGGGACAGCCGGGGCCGGCACAUAAGGUCACCACAACCCCGGCCUCCGGAGACACUGCAGGUACACACAAAGCUCCCCGAGAAUGCCUCUCCACCUACGCUAAGGACAAGAGCUGCAUUCUUCAGCCCAGUUAUCUGGAAGAGACAAAACCAAAUGUUCAAGGAUGUUUAGAAGGAGUGGCUCCGGGUCUCAUGCGAUGUAAUGCAAGGAACUGGCGAGAAGGUCCUGCCUGGCUCCAGCUCCGACACAACGCGGGGUCCAGGACAGAGGGCAGGGCCCUGUGGCUGCUGCGGAAAGCCAGGCCGGCACCAAGCAUGGAAGCUCCGUGUGUGAGGUGGAGUCAGAGAGGCUUGCACAUUGCUCUGGUGACAGGAAACUUGUCUCUGGCUCUUGUGACUUUGCUUUUCCUUCUAACUGACUGAUAGAAACAUGAAUAACUUCAUUCCGCUUUACAAGCCUUCUUCAUCAAAAUUAGACUUCGUCACUUCAGCUGCUCCAUUAAAGGAAAGGAACUCAGUCAGCUGCUCGCUGGUGAUACUCCAGCUUCUCUGAUGUCAUUUUUACUGGAAAAAAUAGGAUGUAGUAAUAUAGAAUUAAGCAGAAAAGGCUGUUUCUUAUGUAUCACAUUGUUACUUAAAGAUACACAAGAAUUCAUGCUUGGUUACUUUAAACUUUAAUGCCUCUCUCUCUUUUUGCUUUCUGGAUUAAAAGCAAAAAC
This 974-nucleotide long non-coding RNA is filed under the name Cavia porcellus (domestic guinea pig). RNAcentral describes it as "lncRNA (ENSCPOG00000034998.1)". The record is from RNAcentral. Lineage: Eukaryota; Metazoa; Chordata; Mammalia; Rodentia; Caviidae.